Molecule: ribosomal RNA, 206 nt
Filed under: uncultured bacterium
Lineage: Bacteria
Description: partial 16S ribosomal RNA
Rfam family: Bacterial small subunit ribosomal RNA
Source: RNAcentral
GAUUGUAGUCUGCAACUCGACUACAUGAAGCUGGAAUCGCUAGUAAUCGCAGAUCAGAAUGCUGCGGUGAAUACGUUCCCGGGUCUUGUACACACCGCCCGUCACACCAUGGGAGUCGGAAAUGCCCGAAGCCGGUGACCAAACCAAUAAGGAAGGAGCCGUCGAAGGCAGGUCUGAUAACUGGGGUGAAGUCGUAACAAGGUAGC